UAGGGAAUCUUCCACAAUGGACGCAAGUCUGAUGGAGCAACGCCGCGUGAGUGAAGAAGGUCUUCGGAUCGUAAAACUCUGUUGUUAGAGAAGAACACGAGUGAGAGUAACUGUUCAUUCGAUGACGGUAUCUAACCAGCAAGUCACGGCUAACUACGCGCCCAG
RNAcentral lists this ribosomal RNA (165 nucleotides) under uncultured bacterium. RNAcentral's name for it is "partial 16S rRNA". It matches the Rfam family "Bacterial small subunit ribosomal RNA", at positions 355 to 512 of the family's 1533-position model. The record is from RNAcentral.